This 249-nucleotide ribosomal RNA is filed under the name uncultured bacterium. Its description in RNAcentral is "partial 16S ribosomal RNA". It matches the Rfam family "Bacterial small subunit ribosomal RNA", at positions 336 to 601 of the family's 1533-position model. The record is from RNAcentral.
UUCCUACGGGGGGCAGCAGUCGGGAAUAUUGCACAAUGGGGGAAACUCUGAUGCAGUGACACCGCGUAUAGGAAGAAGGUUUUCGGAUUGUAAACUAUUUUAGACAGGGAAGAAAAAAGACAGUGCCUGUAGAAUAAGAUCCGGCUAACUACGUGCCAGCAGCCGCGGUAAUACGUAGGGAGCAAGCGUUAUCCGGAAUUAUUGGGUGUAAAGGGUGCGUAGACGGGACAGCAAGUAGGUUGUGAAAGC